AAUCCAUGGGGUCCUCCAGGAUACGAGCCCCUCUCCCUAACCCUCUCCCCGCAGGCGGGGAGAGGGAAACGCCCGCCAAUGCGCGAUGGCAGUGCCGAUAAGCACCCUCCUGACUCCCUGCUAAGUCCGGAAGUCCUCACCCUGGCUGGAUCACCUCCUUAAGCCGAAUUCCAGCACACUGGCGGCCGUUACUAGUGGAUCCGAGCUCGGUACCAAGCUUGGCGUAAUCAUGGUCAUAGCUGUUUCCUGUGUGAAAUUGUUAUCCGCUA
RNAcentral lists this ribosomal RNA (269 nucleotides) under uncultured bacterium. RNAcentral's name for it is "partial 16S ribosomal RNA". The record is from RNAcentral.